GCAAACUUGGUCAUUUAGAGGAAGUAAAAGUCGUAACAAGGUCUCCGUAGGUGAACCUGCGGAGGGAUCAUUAACGAGUUAGGGCCUCUGGCCCGACCUCCAACCCUUUGUUUCCAAACCUCGUUGCCUCGGGGGUGGCCUCGCCUCACGGCUGGUCCCCCGGAGGACUACUACAACUCUGCAUUUGAAUGUCGUCUGAGUGAAGAUUUUAAUCAAAUCAAAACUUUCAACAACGGAUCUCUUGGUUCUAGCAUCGAUGAAGAACGCAGC
Molecule: unclassified non-coding RNA, 270 nt
Filed under: uncultured fungus
Lineage: Eukaryota; Fungi
Description: partial contains small subunit ribosomal RNA, internal transcribed spacer 1, and 5.8S ribosomal RNA
Rfam family: Eukaryotic small subunit ribosomal RNA (bases 1-73)
Source: RNAcentral